Long non-coding RNA from Carassius gibelio (silver crucian carp), 801 nucleotides. RefSeq lists it as uncharacterized. The record is from RefSeq and is a predicted model, not a curated record. NCBI's taxonomy places the organism in Eukaryota, Metazoa, Chordata, Actinopteri, Cypriniformes, Cyprinidae. The transcript is spliced from 2 exons.
GCAGUUUGUCAUGUUUUAUGAAUGAUCCUCUCAGAUCUUGAAGAAGUUAUCUCCUCCGUGCCACAGCAGUCAGAAUGUGGAUCUGUAAGCAACAUGACAUUGGCGCUUCCCAGCACAUGUCCAUCCCGUCUGGCUCUCUCAUACUGAACAGUGAUUAUAGCAGCUGUUUUUGCUUUCAUCUGUGGACAAAUUGCUCACAAUUAAUCUUGGCAUAAAUCAGGAUUUUGGCAGCAGUGUUGGUGAGCAUAGUGACAUGAAAUUUUGUCAACAACAAGGGAAAUAAAUAGUAUUUUCUCUGGGCAGGAAGUGCUACAACUUUGUAAAUAUUUGUGACUGUUUGGUUGUUUUUGCUUUGUCACCUUUAAUGAUGCUGUUGAAGUUGCUGUAUUGAAGUCAUUUUUACCAGCAUUUUAUUAUAAUCAAUCUUUUUGGUAUUAUGAUAAUUGUAUAGAAGGAUGGCAUGUAAUUUGAUUUCAUCCUCUCAAUGUGAUGAUGGCCUAUUAAACAAAUCCCAGUUGUAAACAGAUAAAUACUCUGCCAUAAUUUCAGUGGGCUCGCAGAAUGACAGGAUAAUUAUCGAUCCAGAGUAACAGCUUAUCAUUCAUUUGUGCUGCAUCUCAGUACAUCAAAGGUACUCUCCCUAUUAGAAAUGUCAGUCAUAAUGCCAACACUUGACGUUUCCAAUGAUGUUUAUGUUGUAAUUCUCUGAGAAGUCAAAUUUAGUGAUUCUUAAUAUACAUUUAAAUUGAUUAAUCUUGAUCAAACUUUAAAUAUUUCACUUACUUUCGAAAAUCCAGUGUU